GGGCCCGCACAAGCGGUGGAGUAUGUGGUUUAAUUCGAUGCAACGCGAAAAACCUUACCUACACUUGACAUACUUGGAAUCUUUUGUAAUGAAAGAGUGCCUUUUGGAGCCAAGAUACAGGUGCUGCAUGGCUGUCGUCAGCUCGUGUCGUGAGAUGUUGGGUUAAGUCCCAUAACGAGCGCAACCCUUACCCUUAUUUGCCAGCGAUUCGGUCGGGAACUAUAAGGGGACUGCCGGUGAUAAACCGGAGGAAGGUGAGGACGACGUCAAGUCAUCAUGGCCCUUACGUGUAGGGCUACACACGUGCUACAAUGGGGAGUACAGAUAGACGCUAAAGCGCGAGCUGGUGCUAAUCUCAUAAAGCUUGUCCCAGUCCGGAUCGCAGUCUGCAACUCGACUGCGUGAAGUCGGAAUCGCUAGUAAUCG
Molecule: ribosomal RNA, 426 nt
Filed under: uncultured bacterium
Lineage: Bacteria
Description: bacterial SSU rRNA
Rfam family: Bacterial small subunit ribosomal RNA
Source: RNAcentral